AAGAGAACACCAAACCCCAAUGAGGAGGAUUAGAGAAGAGAUUUUUGCUAUUCGAUAGACGCAAAUAUUUAAGGCCAACCAGAUGUCCAAUUGAUGAAGGUAUUUCCUCGAUCGCACUACCACUUAAGGCAAUCGACUCCAAAUUCUUCUUCUGCUCCCCAAAUUCUAGAAUCUUUUUCAGAUUUUUGCAAUUAUCUAGAUGCAACUUCUGAAGGCCAACCAGAUGUCCAAAGGAUAAAGGUACUUCCUCGAUCGCACUACCAAUUAAGUCAAUGAACGCCAAAUUCUUCAUCUGCUCCCCAAAUUCUGGAAUCUUUUUCAGAUUUUUGCAAUUAUUUAGAUACAACUCCUUAAGGCCAACCAGAUGUCCAAUUGAUGAAGGUAUUUCCUCGAUCGCACUACCACUUAAGACAAUCGACUCCAAAUUCUUCAUCUGCUCCCCAAAUUCUGGAAUCUUUUCCAGAUUUUUGCAAUUAUCUAGAUGCAACUCAUAAAGGCUAACCAGAUGUCCAAUUGAUGAAGGUAUUUCCUCAAUCGCACUACCACUUAAGGCAAUCAACUCCAAAUUCUUCAUCUGCUCCCCAAAUUCUGGAAUCUUUUUCAGAUUUUUGCAAUUAUCUAGAUGCAACACCUUAAGGCCAACCAGAUGUCCAAUUGAUGAAGGUAUUUCCUCGAUCGCACUACCACUUAAGACAAUCAACUCCAAAUUCUUCAUCUGCUCCCCAAAUUCUGGAAUCUUUUUCAGAUUUUUGCAGUUAUCUAGAUGCAACACCUUAAGGCCAACCAGAUGUCCAAUUGAUUAAGGUAUUUCCUCGAUCGCACUACCAUUGAAGCUAAUCGACUCCAAAUUCUUCAUCUGCUCCCCAAAUUUUGGAAUCUUUUUCAGAUUUUUGCAAUUACGUAGAUGCAACACCUUAAGGCCAACCAGAUGUCCAAUUGAUGAAGGUAUUUCCUCGAUCGCACUACCACUGAAGCUAAUCGACUCCAAAUUCUUCAUCUGCUCCCCAAAUUCUGGAAUCUUUUUCAGAUUUUUGCAAUUAUCUAGAUAAAACUUCUGAAG
RNAcentral lists this long non-coding RNA (1060 nucleotides) under Malus domestica (apple). RNAcentral describes it as "long non-coding RNA (MDOM_LNC009581)". Lineage: Eukaryota; Viridiplantae; Streptophyta; Magnoliopsida; Rosales; Rosaceae. The record is from RNAcentral.